UGGGGAAUAUUGCGCAAUGGGGGAAACCCUGACGCAGCAACGCCGCGUGCGGGAUGAAGGCUUUCGGGUUGUAAACCGCUUUCAGCAGGGAAGAUAAUGACGGUACCUGCAGAAGAAGCCCCGGCUAACUACGUGCCAGCAGCCGCGGUAAUACGUAGGGGGCAAGCGUUAUCCGGAUUCAUUGGGCGUAAAGCGCGCGCAGGCGGGCCGCUAAGCGGGACCUCUAAUCUUGGGGCUCAACCUCAAGCCGGGUCCCGAACUGGCAGCCUCGAGUGCGGUAGGGGUAAGCGGAAUUCCCGGUGUAGCGGUGGAAUGCGCAGAUAUCGGGAAGAACACCGAUGGCGAAGGCAGCUUACUGGGCCGACACUGACGCUGAGGCGCGAAAGCUAGGGGAGCGAACA
This 401-nucleotide ribosomal RNA is filed under the name uncultured Adlercreutzia sp. Its description in RNAcentral is "bacterial SSU rRNA". It matches the Rfam family "Bacterial small subunit ribosomal RNA", at positions 355 to 774 of the family's 1533-position model. The record is from RNAcentral. Lineage: Bacteria; Bacillati; Actinomycetota; Coriobacteriia; Eggerthellales; Eggerthellaceae.